AUGCCACCUCCGAGUCUGGACUGCAGCAAGCUCUGUUCCUCCACAGGCCCCCAGUGCUGGGAUUGCAGGAGCACGGCCACCCUGCACUGCCACCUCAGCUCCAGAGCCACCCCCAACAGGACACGGGGGACAGGGACACACAGGGAUGGACAUGGGGAACAGGGAUGGACAGGGAUGGACAGGGAUGGACAUGGGGAACAGGGAUGGACAGGGAUGGACAGGGAUGGACAUAGGGGACAGGGACACACAGGGAUGAACAGGGAUGGACAGGGAUGGACACAGGGGACAGGGACACACAGGGAUGGACAGGGAGGGACACAGGGGACAGGGAUGGACAGGAGAGGACAGAGAGUACAUGGAGAUACAUGGGCUGUACAGGACACAGAGCACACACAGACUGUCCAGGACAGGGUGACACUGCACAGGACACAGUGUCACACCCUGCACAGGACACAGUGUCACACCCUGCUCAGCACAGGACAGUGUCACACAGCACAGGACAGUGUCACACUGCACAGGGUGUCACACCCUGCACAGGACAGUGUCACACUGCACAGGACAGUGUCACACCCUGCACAGGACAGUGUCACCCUGCACAGGACAGUGUCACACACAGCACAGGACAGUGUCACCCUGCACAGGACAGUGUCACACCCUGCACAGGACAGUGUCACACUGCACAGGACAGUGUCACACCCUGCACAGGACACUGUCACACACAGCACAGGACAGUGUCACACUGCACAGGAUGUCACACCCCGCACAGGACAGUGUCACCCUGCACAGGACAGUGUCACACCCUGCACAGGACAGUGUCACACUGCACAGGACAGUGUCACCCUGCACAGGACAGUGUCACACUGCACAGGAUGUCACACCCUGCACAGGACAGUGUCACCCUGCACAGGACAGUGUCACACCCUGCUCAGCACAGGCACAGCUCCCAGGCUGGAGGAGGAACUAAAGCAAGCCUGGCCCCUGCUGGCCCCAGCUCGGCUCCUGCUGCCCAAGCACCACAAACUGGGGCUGAACACCUUCAUCAGCACGCCACAGACUCACUGCAAGAGCUGCUUCAAACAUUAG
This 1083-nucleotide long non-coding RNA is filed under the name Parus major (Great Tit). RNAcentral describes it as "lncRNA (ENSPMJG00000006279.1)". Lineage: Eukaryota; Metazoa; Chordata; Aves; Passeriformes; Paridae. The record is from RNAcentral.